ACUGAGAUGCAGAGCAGAAACUCAAC
RNAcentral lists this non-coding RNA (26 nucleotides) under Rattus norvegicus (Norway rat). The record is from RNAcentral. Lineage: Eukaryota; Metazoa; Chordata; Mammalia; Rodentia; Muridae.